This 378-nucleotide unclassified non-coding RNA is filed under the name plant metagenome. Its description in RNAcentral is "partial contains 5.8S ribosomal RNA, internal transcribed spacer 2, and large subunit ribosomal RNA". The stretch from base 1 to 105 matches the Rfam family "5.8S ribosomal RNA", at positions 50 to 154 of the family's 154-position model. The record is from RNAcentral.
GAAAUGCGAUAAGUAAUGUGAAUUGCAGAAUUCAGUGAAUCAUCGAAUCUUUGAACGCACCUUGCGCUCCUUGGUAUUCCUUGGAGCAUGCCUGUUUGAGUAUCAUGAAAUCUUCAAAGUAAAUCUUUUGUUAACUCAAUUGGUUUCUACUUUGGUAUUGGAGGUCUUUGCAGCUUCACACCUGCUCCUCUUUGUUCAUUAGCUGGAUCUCAGUGUUAUGCUUGGUUCCACUCGGCGUGAUAAGUUAUCUAUCGCUGAGGACACAGUAAAAGGUGGCCAAGGUAAAUGCAGAUGAACCGCUUCUAAUAGUCCAUUGACUUGGACAAUACUUUUAUGAUCUGAUCUCAAAUCAGGUAGGACUACCCGCUGAACUUAAGC